AGUGAACGCUGGCGGUAGGCCUAACACAUGCAAGUCGAACGGCAGCACAGUAAUAGCUUGCUCUUACGGGUGGCGAGUGGCGGACGGGUGAGGAAUACAUCGGAAUCUACUUUUUCUUGGGGGAUAACGUGGGGAAACUUACGCUAAUACCGCAUACGACCUACGGGUGAAAGCAGGGGAUCUUCGGCCCUUGCGCGAUUGAAUGACCCGAUGUCGGAUUAGCUAGUUGGCGGGGUAAAGGCCCACCAAGGCGACGAUCCGUAGCUGGUCUGAGAGGAUGAUCAGCCACACUGGAACUGAGACACGGUCCAGACUCCUACGGGAGGCAGCAGUGGGGAAUAUUGGACAAUGGGCGCAAGCCUGAUCCAGCCAUACCGCGUGGGUGAAGAAGGCCUUCGGGUUGUAAAGCCCUUUUGUUGGGAAAGAAAAGCAGCAGGUUAAUACCCCGCUGUUCUGACGGUACCCAAAGAAUAAGCACCGGCUAACUUCGUG
RNAcentral lists this ribosomal RNA (492 nucleotides) under uncultured bacterium. RNAcentral describes it as "partial 16S ribosomal RNA". It matches the Rfam family "Bacterial small subunit ribosomal RNA", at positions 29 to 507 of the family's 1533-position model. The record is from RNAcentral.